This is a long non-coding RNA of Triticum aestivum (bread wheat), 1859 nucleotides long. RefSeq lists it as uncharacterized. The record is from RefSeq and is a predicted model, not a curated record. The transcript is spliced from 3 exons. NCBI's taxonomy places the organism in Eukaryota, Viridiplantae, Streptophyta, Magnoliopsida, Poales, Poaceae.
GUAAGGUGACACUUAUAAUCUCAUAGCCGGUCUCAAGCCCGAAAAAAGGAGGAGAGGCCACCCAUGUGCUUUUAGACGAAAAUAUAUAUGUUCUGUUGACUUAACGAUCAUGGUUGAAAUGAAAGAAUCAUUUAGGAGAAAUAUUAUUCCAUUGUUUUCAGACGAAAGAGCUGCCUUCCUUUUCUUUUAGAUAAUGAAACAAAUAUUUGAUGUAGUAUCAAAGGUCUGCAUGUUCAAGCCAAUGAAUCUCUCCAUUGAGGCGCUCAAUCACAGUGAGUACCGACACUAAAUCACUCAUUAGAUUUCUAUUAUUCCGGUCACAUCGAAGCUAUUUAUUCAUUUUUUGCUCAUUAAUUCAUGUAUUCUUUGUUCUUCAAUGUUUUCUAUGAAACACUAUUUUGGACUUUUGCCACUCAUUUGUGUAAACCACUCUGCAGUACAUCUCCUCGUUGAAGGAAUCGUUUACUUGCUUUCCUGCCGGCUUGUGUUAUACUAUGUCUUAUUGUCGAAGUUCUGACUUGGUUGUGUAUCUGCUGAUAAUGAAUUACAGCAUAUAUCUAGCUUCUGGUACACAAGGAUUCGAAGGGUAUCGAAGACGCGAAGGAUAGCGAAGAUUUGGAAGAUACCAAAGGAAUAGUUUUUCUUUUUUUCGAUGGUAAUAAAUUCUAAGUUAAAAAAUUGUUAAUACUCCAAUAUUCCUCAAGUUUUCAAGCUCGUUUGUUGAGACAGAGUAUAAUAUACACUACUCUGGUACAGAAGGAGUACUACAUAUGAAAUUUUGUGUUUGCAACUAAGAAUGUUUCUCUUUCUAAAACUAAUGUACUGUAAAACUACAAUAAUUUAGCCUGUGGGUACAAAAUACUGUGGUUUUGACAUAACAAAGUAUUUUGGAGUAUUGAGAAUACUGUGGACCUUUUUAGCAAGUUUUUUAUGCUCCUACGUAUUUUGAAGUAGUUUUCAAAUGUGCGCAUUGCUAUCUAGUUUCAGACGUGCCGUAUUGCUAGGUAGCCAGAUGUUGCAAACUGAUGAACAGCCAUGCGCAGAACAAUGGCAUGCACAAGCUAGAUCGGUGAAAUACUCUGGUUACUGCAGUAGUUGCGUGUGAAGAAGUAAAAAAACUGCAGGUACUGAAUUUAGAAGUCACGCUUCUCUGUGUACUGAUACCCUGCUCUUUCUACUAGUACAUACACUUCUUUUGUAAUUUGUCUGAAGCAUGCAUUCCUGUCCAGAACCCAAAUGCCAGCUUUGCCUUGUGCAUGCAUUCAACCACACCUGACCUAACUACACUCUACAUCCUUAGCUUUCAUUUGUCUGACCACUAUCUUGACAUCAGAAACAAACCAAGCUUACAUUUUUCAGAGUGUCUUUGUUAUUUUACAGAGUGGCUUCUGCAAAUGCCAUAAGAAGCAUCUAUCUGCAGAACAAGUGGAACCACAAUCCUGCAGCAGAAGCAGAUUACUCACAAUAUACAGUUCUUCUUCCCAGCAUAUACAGGUCGCAAACAGUAAUGGCUCAUUGAUGUACAGAGAGUUUUUUUUCAAAAAGGGGAAUGACCCCGGCCUCUGCAUCAUCAUGACGCGCACAACCAUUGAUGUACAGAUAGUAUAACUAGCUUCUUCUUUUUUUCUGCGAGGUGUCUAACUAGCUUCUGAUCAGCUCAAAACAGGCUUGUCUUGCCUCCUCAUCGAUUUCUGAGCAUUUUCGCCUGGCGGCGGUGAUGAGACUAUUUGCAGCAGGUAGCAAUGGAAAUAAUAGAAGUCCAUCUUGCUGGGCAUUUCCGUGUGCAGUAAACGACAGCGCCCGGGAGUCUGAACCCCUCGUUUUCAUUCAGCCUCAGCACCAACACCUACAGGCAGGCU